Molecule: long non-coding RNA, 274 nt
Filed under: Mus musculus (house mouse)
Lineage: Eukaryota; Metazoa; Chordata; Mammalia; Rodentia; Muridae
Description: long non-coding RNA chrX:153221169-153221443
Source: RNAcentral
GGGAGACAAGCCAGGUUGGCAGCAGAUUGGAUCCAGCUUUAUUCGGCAUUACUAUCAGUGAUUUGAUAACGGCAGAACCCAGCUAGGCGCAAUUUACAUUGAUUGAGUCAUCAUGCCUUAAGUGGGAAGGACAGCAGUCCCAGGGGAAAGCUGCCGUGGAGGAGAAGCUAUCUAGCCUCCCGUUCCAGAAAAUUCAGCAUAGUGUCAACAGCGCAGGACCACCAGCCUACACCAGAGAGCUGCAUCAUCAGCAUGGUUGUAGGCCAGCUCAAGG